ACUUGCUUAGCUCAAUCGGGAGAGCAUCGUCUUUACACGGCGAGGGUAGCUGGUUCGAAACCAGCAGCAAGUACCA
Molecule: transfer RNA, 76 nt
Filed under: Klebsiella phage Sugarland
Lineage: Duplodnaviria; Heunggongvirae; Uroviricota; Caudoviricetes; Demerecviridae
Also listed under: 52 other names
Description: tRNA-Val
Source: RNAcentral